Molecule: ribosomal RNA, 723 nt
Filed under: uncultured bacterium
Lineage: Bacteria
Description: bacterial SSU rRNA
Rfam family: Bacterial small subunit ribosomal RNA
Source: RNAcentral
UGCAGUCGAACGGAAGUCGUUAUAAAAAGGAUUGAAGAUUUAUCUGAUUGAGAUUUUAUAACAAUGGCUUUAGUGGCGGACUGGUGAGUAACGCGUGAGCAACCUGCCUACUAGAGGGGAAUAACAGUGAGAAAUCAUUGCUAAUACCGCAUAUGCCAUGAACAUCACAUGAUGAAAAUGGGAAAAGAGUAAUCUGCUAGUAGAUGGGCUCGCGUCUGAUUAGAUAGUUGGUGGGGUAACGGCCUACCAAGUCAACGAUCAGUAGCCGGACUGAGAGGUUGAACGGCCACAUUGGGACUGAGAUACGGCCCAGACUCCUACGGGAGGCAGCAGUCGGGAAUAUUGCGCAAUGGAGGAAACUCUGACGCAGUGACGCCGCGUAUAGGAAGAAGGUUUUCGGAUUGUAAACUAUUGUCGUUAGGGAAGAUAAAAGACAGUACCUAAGGAGGAAGCUCCGGCUAACUACGUGCCAGCAGCCGCGGUAAUACGUAGGGAGCAAGCGUUAUCCGGAUUUAUUGGGUGUAAAGGGUGCGUAGACGGGACAACAAGUUAGUUGUGAAAUCCCUCGGCUUAACUGAGGAACUGCAACUAAAACUAUUGUUCUUGAGUGUUGGAGAGGAAAGUGGAAUUCCUAGUGUAGCGGUGAAAUGCGUAGAUAUUAGGAGGAACACCGGUGGCGAAGGCGACUUUCUGGACAAUAACUAACGUUGAGGCACGAAAGUG